Long non-coding RNA from Nerophis ophidion (straightnose pipefish), 613 nucleotides. RefSeq lists it as uncharacterized. The record is from RefSeq and is a predicted model, not a curated record. The transcript is spliced from 4 exons. Lineage: Eukaryota; Metazoa; Chordata; Actinopteri; Syngnathiformes; Syngnathidae.
CAGUCAUUGGUGGAUCCAACUGUCACGAGGAGGCGCGAGGUCGGGUCGGGGUUUGUUCUCCCAGAAUGCAGAACGGACGGCUCUGGACGACAGCAUGAGUGACUCACGUGGUGGUAGUGCCAUCGCUGCAAGAUAACCCAGGACAAGCGCAGUGUCCCCACUGCCAGCAGACGGUAGGCACCCAAGUAGAACGCACAGCAGGCCUGAUGAUCUGGGGCAUCUGUGGAGGCCUCGCCCUCUUCGGACAUGCCCCUGCUAGCGCUGAGCGCAGCACCUCCACGCAGCGACAAGUCUGCAGAUAAUCACUAAUCAGCGCACCUGGACCUGACGACAGGGAACGGCAUAAAGACCAGCGGACCCGAGGAACUUUUGCCAGAACGUCACUCAUGUUUUGAUGACUUCCCUGUCAUCCGUGAUCGUGUUUUGCCUCUCAACAUCCACCCGGAUUCCUGAAUGCCUUCCUCGAUCCUCGACCCCUGCUCGGACACUGACUACGCUGCCUUUCUCCUACGCUCGACCCCUUGCCUGUUUACGGACUGCCUCUUUGCCUUGACCCCCCCUUGAUUCGACGAAGGAUACAUCUAACACUCACAGAAAACAACCCCUGCUAACA